This 694-nucleotide ribosomal RNA is filed under the name Arthrobacter sp. pfB2. Its description in RNAcentral is "bacterial SSU rRNA". It matches the Rfam family "Bacterial small subunit ribosomal RNA", at positions 8 to 716 of the family's 1533-position model. The record is from RNAcentral. Lineage: Bacteria; Bacillati; Actinomycetota; Actinomycetes; Micrococcales; Micrococcaceae.
AGAGUUUGAUCCUGGCUCAGGAUGAACGCUGGCGGCGUGCUUAACACAUGCAAGUCGAACGAUGAUCCCAGCUUGCUGGGGGAUUAGUGGCGAACGGGUGAGUAACACGUGAGUAACCUGCCCUUGACUCUGGNGAUAAGCCUGGGAAACUGGGUCUAAUACCGGAUAUGACUCCUCAUCGCAUGGUGGGGGGUGGAAAGCUUUUGUGGUUUUGGAUGGACUCGCGGCCUAUCAGCUUGUUGGUGGGGUAAUGGCCUACCAAGGCGACGACGGGUAGCCGGCCUGAGAGGGUGACCGGCCACACUGGGACUGAGACACGGCCCAGACUCCUACGGGAGGCAGCAGUGGGGAAUAUUGCACAAUGGGCGCAAGCCUGAUGCAGCGACGCCGCGUGAGGGAUGACGGCCUUCGGGUUGUAAACCUCUUUCAGUAGGGAAGAAGCGAAAGUGACGGUACCUGCAGAAGAAGCGCCGGCUAACUACGUGCCAGCAGCCGCGGUAAUACGUAGGGCGCAAGCGUUAUCCGGAAUUAUUGGGCGUAAAGAGCUCGUAGGCGGUUUGUCGCGUCUGCUGUGAAAGACCGGGGCUCAACUCCGGUUCUGCAGUGGGUACGGGCAGACUAGAGUGCNGUAGGGGAGACUGGAAUUCCUGGUGUAGCGGUGAAAUGCGCAGAUAUCAGGAGGACCACCGAUGGC